UGCAUUCGCUACUGUAAGUCUCUCUGGAUAAGAGUGUCUACUAAAUUACGUAAA
Non-coding RNA from Salmo salar (Atlantic salmon), 54 nucleotides. The record is from Rfam. Lineage: Eukaryota; Metazoa; Chordata; Actinopteri; Salmoniformes; Salmonidae.